Oreochromis niloticus (Nile tilapia) is the source of this 2342-nucleotide long non-coding RNA. NCBI's taxonomy places the organism in Eukaryota, Metazoa, Chordata, Actinopteri, Cichliformes, Cichlidae. The record is from Ensembl.
CUGUUGCCAGUGACACUGUUGGGGAUUUAUUCAAAAUUGAAGGAACACUGAACCAGCACGACUACCACAGCAUCCUGCGACAUGCCAUCCCAUCAGGUUUCCGUUUAGUUGGACCAUCAUUUAUUUUUCAACAGGACAAUGACCCUAAGCACAUCUCCAGGCUGUCUGUGUAAGGGCUAUUUAUAAUAUUUAUUAUUAUUAUUAUUUAUCUAUCUACUCAAGAUUUUCUCAAGGUUUUUUUGGAAUAAAAUAAAAAAUAAAUAUAAAACAAAAAAUAAAUAAAAAAUAUGUAGCAGUUAAUAAUUUAUUUCAUUUUCUACUUCACUCCAAUUUUGCCCUGUGUGCGAUUCAAGGUAGCUUUUUGUUUGUCUGUUGUUUUUCAUUGCUUGACUGACUGAGCAGCAUUUGGUUUCACUGUGAGAGGGGACAAAUAACGAUAUGCUAUCUGUAGAGAUGCGGGGAAGCCCUUUGAGGAGCUACAUGUGUUUUGGUCUUUGGAGUCGGGCUGACUCCUGGUCAAUUUGAUUGCUGAAGACAGGUCAAAACAACCCUCAGGCUGCUGGUACUCCGACUGUUAUCUGCAGGUUUAUAUAUGUGAUAUUUUUAGGUUAUCAGGAAGAAGGAGUGGCUAAGCGGUAGGCUACUAUUUAGUCUCCCUUCUCUGUGACUCAUUUGCGUCUCAGCUUCUUCAGGCUCAUACAUUUUUCCUACCAGAUGAUGUCUCUGCGUUGGGCUCUCAGAUUAGUUUGGCUUAUUUGCGCAGUAUCACCUGUUUAUGGGUUUUCAUGUCGUGAAAAGCAGGAUUUGGAGGGGGAAAUGAAUGGAUGUGGCAGCAAUCAAAGCGCUCUUUUUACAGCUUCGAUGACUGUCCAAGCCACUGACCAAAAUGUGCUGGCUUGCUGUGGUGAGGAGGCCUACAAUCCAGUCAAUGAAAUAUGCUGUGACUCAGCCAUCAGAGUGAAACCUGCUGUUAAGAGCAAGUGUUGUGGUAAAGAGGCCAUCAAUGAGGACAAGCAGUUGUGCUGUCAAAUCAACAAGACGAUAACAAGGACUUCAAGUCUAUACCAGUGCUGUGGAAGUGAAGAGUAUAACACUGAGACUCACUGUUGUGAUAACGAAUUACAAAUCAAACCAUUCGGUAAUAGUUCCAUAACCUCAAGAAGACUGACUGAUGACUGUGAAGCAGAAAGCAAAAUCUGGACUGAUCAGCACUACUGUGGGCCUAAAGUUUUCAGACCUGAAAAAGAGAUCUGCUGCAGUGGACACAGAUAUAACAAAGCAGGAAAUGAUCACUGCUGUGGGGUGAAAGCCUACAACAUUACAGACCCAAAGAUGAAGUGCUGUGCAGGAACACUGCACCGUCUCACAGCUGCAACUGCAAAUGGCGAGUGCUGUGGAUCCAUUCUGUACACAGAGGGUGUUUGCUGCCUGAGUGAGGAUAAAGAGGUGUUCUACUCUGCAAAGACAGAUUUCAGAUGUUGUGGACAUCUCUACUACAACACCUCUCUGUGGUCAUGCUGUGCAGGGAAACUGAGACCUCGGAAAUCAGGGGUGUUCCACAACUCCACAAUUUUGUCCUUGAACAAACUGAAUCAAACACAACUUUGCAACCCAAUAAAGAUUGGGACUGUGGAAAGUGUAUCUCAGCACAGCAUCGUGUUCAGCAGUUUGCUGGAAAUCAAUGGGCAAAUUGCUUCUUUGAAACCUCUGGACUGGCAUUAUUCCUGGAACAAACCUUAUUUACCUGAACUAACUCCUGGGAAGACUUAUUUCUUCAAUGACGAUAAUGUCUUCAUUGAUUUCAAUCAUGACUCUCUUCUUCAGUCGAUCCGUUUCAUUAUUUCCAAAUGUUAGUCCUGUCCUGCUUAAUCUGCUCCAGUGUGCAAUAUGAAAUUAGUUCCCAGAGAGUGACAAAAGCUUCAGUAGUAAAAUAUGUACUUUGUGCAGUCAAAGUCAUGCAAUAGUGUGUUGUCUGCGUUCUCAUAGUGAGUUCUCAUAAAAGCUCUUUACAGUUUUGUUCUUCAGAUUUUUUUUCUUUUCAAAUUUGUAUUAUGUAACAAAAAACAUAAAAACUGCAGUUGUUUGGGCAGAUGCGAUUUGUUGCUAAUUUGCUCUACUAUCAGCAAUAACAGCUAAAUUUGCAGGUGCCCUGUGAUGUCUGCAUAUUUAUCUUUAACUGUGUUUAUAUUGUUUACUUCUCAAGUUUUACUCAAUAGCUAAUUUUUCCCUGAGGUCUUUGAACUGUUCUGUAUUACUAUAUAUUCAAAUGUAUACAAAAAUCAGUUAUCAUCAUCAUCACAAAUGUAUUCAUAUUUUAUCCAAUGAAUAAAUUUGAAAAGAAU